UACGAAGGGUGCAAGCGUUACUCGGAAUUACUGGGCGUAAAGCGUGCGUAGGCGGUUCGUUAAGUCCGUUGUGAAAGCCCUGGGCUCAACCUGGGAAUGGCAGUGGAUACUGGCGAGCUAGAGUGUGAUAGAGGAUGGUGGAAUUCCCGGUGUAGCGGUGAAAUGCGUAGAGAUCGGGAGGAACACCAGUGGCGAAGGCGGCCAUCUGGAUCAACACUGACGCUGAGGCACGAAAGCGUGGGGAGCAAGCAGG
RNAcentral lists this ribosomal RNA (253 nucleotides) under uncultured bacterium. Its description in RNAcentral is "partial 16S ribosomal RNA". It matches the Rfam family "Bacterial small subunit ribosomal RNA", at positions 524 to 776 of the family's 1533-position model. The record is from RNAcentral.